AACGAACGCUGGCGGCAUGCCUAACACAUGCAAGUCGAACGAGACCUUCGGGUCUAGUGGCGCACGGGUGCGUAACGCGUGGGAACCUGCCCUUAGGUUCGGAAUAACUCCCCGAAAGGGGUGCUAAUACCGGAUAAUGUCUUCGGACCAAAGAUUUAUCGCCUUUGGAUGGGCCCGCGUUGGAUUAGCUAGUUGGUAGGGUAAAAGCCUACCAAGGCGACGAUCCAUAGCUGGUCUGAGAGGAUGAUCCGCCACACUGGGACUGAGACACGGCCCGGACUCCUACGGGAAGCAGCAGUGGGGAAUAUUGGACAAUGGGCGAAAGCCUGAUCCAGCAAUGCCGCGUGAGUGAUGAAGGCCUUAGGGUUGUAAAGCUCUUUUACCCGGGAUGAUAAUGACAGUACCGGGAGAAUAAGCUCCGGCUAACUCCGUG
Molecule: ribosomal RNA, 433 nt
Filed under: uncultured bacterium
Lineage: Bacteria
Description: partial 16S ribosomal RNA
Rfam family: Bacterial small subunit ribosomal RNA
Source: RNAcentral